This 467-nucleotide ribosomal RNA is filed under the name uncultured bacterium. RNAcentral describes it as "partial 16S ribosomal RNA". It matches the Rfam family "Bacterial small subunit ribosomal RNA", at positions 28 to 506 of the family's 1533-position model. The record is from RNAcentral.
GACGAACGCUGGCGGCGUGCUUAACACAUGCAAGUCGAACGGAAAGGCCCUGCUCUUGUGCGGUUCUCGAGAGCCGAAAGGGGGUGUAUCACGCGAGUAGCCUGCCCUUGACUUUGGGGUAACUUCAGGAAACUCGGGCUAAUAUCCCAUAUGAGCUCCUUCUACAUGGGGGGGGUUGUAAAGAUUCGGCGUUGCGGGAUGGACUGACGGCUUAUCAUCUUGUUGGUUGGGUAGUGGCUUACCAAGGCUCUGACGGGUAGCCGGCCUGGCAGGGUGACCGGCCACAUUGGGUCUGAGAUGCGGCCCAGACGCAUACGGGAGGAAGCAGUGGAGAAUAUUGCACAAUGGGCGGAAGAGUGAUGCAGCAACGCCGCGUGCGAGAUGACGGCCUUCGGGUUGUAAACCGCUUUCGCAUGUGACGAAGCGUAGGUGACGGUACUGGGUAAAGAAGCACAGGCUAAUUACGU